AUCAUGUUUUAUUUGGCCGAC
Molecule: small nuclear RNA, 21 nt
Filed under: Arabidopsis thaliana (thale cress)
Lineage: Eukaryota; Viridiplantae; Streptophyta; Magnoliopsida; Brassicales; Brassicaceae
Description: snRNA_17146
Source: RNAcentral